Molecule: long non-coding RNA, 425 nt
Filed under: Olea europaea (common olive)
Lineage: Eukaryota; Viridiplantae; Streptophyta; Magnoliopsida; Lamiales; Oleaceae
Description: long non-coding RNA (OEUR_LNC004126)
Source: RNAcentral
CCCGAACAAUAUGAUGAAAUGCCACAUGACAGUUUCCUUAUGGGAAAGGGAAGUGUAUUACAGUCUCGAUUAACUUCAUUCUGCCAAGAAACUUCUGUAGAUACAGCAUCCACUAAUAACAUUUGCUUGACACAUGAAUUGAUCGGACCUUUGCAUCAAGUGGCUGCAGAAAUCAGUUCAAAGGAAGAGGUCACCCCAGAAAUCAGUUCCUUCUGCCAAGAAACUUCUGUAGAUACAGCAUCCACUAAUAACAUUUGCUUGACACAUGAAUUGAUCGGACCUUUGCAUCAAGUGGCUGCAGAAAUCAGUUCAAAGGAAGAGGUCACCCCAGAAAUCAGUUCAAAGGAAGAGGUUGCCCCAGAAAUCAGUUCAAAGGAAGAGAAGGUUGAACGCAGCUCUUCCAGUAUGGAGGCAAACCCUACGAG